Molecule: long non-coding RNA, 352 nt
Organism: Orbicella faveolata
Lineage: Eukaryota; Metazoa; Cnidaria; Anthozoa; Scleractinia; Merulinidae
Source: RefSeq, a predicted model, not a curated record
AAUACUAAUUACAAUUUUCUUUUUUUAUGUCCUUAGUUUCUUGGUCUUGAUCAUUUAGACCAAGGCUGCAGGGAUCAAAAUUUAAGGUCACCCAUGUGUGCAAUGGUGCUGUUGGCAUACCACAGUGUCAUCACUUAUUACCUUGGAAAUGGUGAAGGAGAUGUUUUGUAUGCCGAGGAAAUUCUUCAACCACAUUUAAAGGCGUUUCCUAAGGGAGCGAUAUUUUUGUACUACGCUGGCCGUAUAAAACAAGUGCAAGGAAAAUUAGAUGAGGUAAGUAUCUGUUCCAGGCAUUCAUGAAAUUAAAUUACUGUUCAAUCUCUUCUCAUCAGUAUCUAUGGAUAUUUUAAGU